AAGGGAGCUUGCUCCUGGAUUCAGCGGCGGACGGGUGAGUAAUGCCUAGGAAUCUGCCUGGUAGUGGGGGAUAACGUCCGGAAACGGGCGCUAAUACCGCAUACGUCCUGAGGGAGAAAGUGGGGGAUCUUCGGACCUCACGCUAUCAGAUGAGCCUAGGUCGGAUUAGCUAGUUGGUGGGGUAAAGGCCUACCAAGGCGACGAUCCGUAACUGGUCUGAGAGGAUGAUCAGUCACACUGGAACUGAGACACGGUCCAGACUCCUACGGGAGGCAGCAGUGGGGAAUAUUGGACAAUGGGCGAAAGCCUGAUCCAGCCAUGCCGCGUGUGUGAAGAAGGUCUUCGGAUUGUAAAGCACUUUAAGUUGGGAGGGAGGGCAGUAAGUUAAUACCUCGCUGUUUUGACGUUACCAACAGAAUAAGCACCGGCUAACUUCGUGCCAGCAGCCGCGGUAAUACGAAGGGUGCAAGCGUUAAUCGGAAUUACUGGGCGUAAAGCGCGCGUAGGUGGUUCAGCAAGUUGGAUGUGAAAUCCCCGGGCUCAACCUGGGAACUGCAUCCAAAACUACUGAGCUAGAGUACGGUAGAGGGUGGUGGAAUUUCCUGUGUAGCGGUGAAAUGCGUAGAUAUAGGAAGGAACACCAGUGGCGAAGGCGACCACCUGGACUGAUACUGACACUGAGGUGCGAAAGCGUGGGGAGCAAACAGGAUUAGAUACCCUGGUAGUCCACGCCGUAAACGAUGUCGACUAGCCGUUGGGAUCCUUGAGAUCUUAGUGGCGCAGCUAACGCGAUAAGUCGACCGCCUGGGGAGUACGGC
This 818-nucleotide ribosomal RNA is filed under the name uncultured Pseudomonadales bacterium. RNAcentral's name for it is "bacterial SSU rRNA". It matches the Rfam family "Bacterial small subunit ribosomal RNA", at positions 72 to 886 of the family's 1533-position model. The record is from RNAcentral. Lineage: Bacteria; Pseudomonadati; Pseudomonadota; Gammaproteobacteria; Pseudomonadales.